CGUAGGGUGCGAGCGUUAAUCGGAAUUACUGGGCGUAAAGCGGGCGCAGGCGGUUAUAUAAGACAGAUGUGAAAUCCCCGGGCUCAACCUGGGAACUGCAUUUGUGACUGUAUAGCUAGAGUACGGCAGAGGGGGAUGGAAUUCCGCGUGUAGCAGUGAAAUGCGUAGAUAUGCGGAGGAACACCGAUGGCGAAGGCAAUCCCCUGGGCCUGUACUGACGCUCAUGCACGAAAGCGUGGGGAGCAAACAGGAUUAGAUACCCUGGUAGUCCACGCCCUAAACGAUGUCAACUGGUUGUUGGGUCUUCACUGACUCAGUAACGAAGCUAACGCGUGAAGUUGACCGCCUGGGGAGUACGGCCGCAAGGUUG
Molecule: ribosomal RNA, 370 nt
Filed under: uncultured organism
Description: bacterial SSU rRNA
Rfam family: Bacterial small subunit ribosomal RNA
Source: RNAcentral